UACACUAAUCCUAACUAUGCUCCUGUGCUUUACCCGAUGCCUCGGGCCUUGAUCACGAACCUCCUUCGAAGACAUAAUACGUCAGGGAAUUUCCCGAUGAGUAAAAAUAUGAAACCUUGGGGCAUUCCCAACUAAAUGAAUACACUUGAAUCAAAUGCGAUAAACUAGAAAGAAAACAUUCACACACACUUUCAAAUAUUCAACCAAAUAUUCCAUGUCCAAACUUUCAACGAAAACGCUUGUUCCUAAAUUUUGUCUACCCGAUCCUAUAUGUCAAUCCAUUUCAACAUAUCAUAAUCCCGUUCUGACCAUAUUCAUGCUCAUUCCGAAAACAACAAUAAACCAAAGUUAAUCUAAAUUUACUAUUUUAUCAAAUUCAAUUCCGCCCCCAAAUUUAUUUUUCAACAUGAUUAAAUUACUUUCGAUACGCAAUCCACCAAUCAAGUUUUCAUAUCCAAAUCUAAUAAUAACCAACACGCAAUAAAGAUUUAAACAUACCAAACACAUAAGUCAGUCACAAUUAUGUAAAAUUAAAUAUUAAAGAAAGAGGAGAUGGGAUUGGACCUCACUUUUAUUAUAAUUCCAAAUUUGUUGACAAGAUACCAUCGGAAUACCCAAAUUUAACCUCAAUCAGUAAUCGCACUCGACUAUGAGCGAACUCAAUCGCGAAGAGAAAACCCAAAAUCCAAUCCGAAACUCCGAUGAGCUAAAAAUGACAAAAGCCAACAAGAAGAGUCGGAUUUUGGAAAUCCCUGUAGAACAAGUGAACUAUACACCGAUGACGUCGAUUCCGGCAAAAAAUUCAUCGGAUAUUCUUGAGAAACGACUGGAUUCUCACCGGUAUACUAUUUUGACCAACUCUUGGACUGUUUUCAAUCCAUUUUUUAUCCCUUUUCUCACUGUUUCAACCUUUUCAAUCUCCUCCUUUCCAAUUUCUGGGUAUACCUCUAGCUCCGGGGGGUUAUGUGUGUAUAUGGUUUUUGUCAGUAGAAAAAUGGAAGAUGAAUGGGGAAUCUCGUGUGUAAUUUUUUUUUCUAGAAGAAAAAAAAUGAGGUUAUUUUUUUUUAUAUUUUCCUUUUCCAGUGAGGUCUAUUGAAUUUGGAGUGAUGUGCGUGUAUCUAUUUUUGUGGGUGGUAUGUGGGACACGUAAGUGGAGGUCGUCUGGUCCCUGGAGGUCUGUGAAGUG
This 1186-nucleotide long non-coding RNA is filed under the name Capsicum annuum. RNAcentral describes it as "long non-coding RNA (CANN_LNC015566)". The record is from RNAcentral. Lineage: Eukaryota; Viridiplantae; Streptophyta; Magnoliopsida; Solanales; Solanaceae.